Molecule: transfer RNA, 75 nt
Filed under: Nitrospiraceae bacterium
Lineage: Bacteria; Pseudomonadati; Nitrospirota; Nitrospiria; Nitrospirales; Nitrospiraceae
Also listed under: 2 other names
Description: tRNA-Gly
Rfam family: tRNA
About the family: Transfer RNA (tRNA) molecules are approximately 80 nucleotides in length. Their secondary structure includes four short double-helical elements and three loops (D, anti-codon, and T loops).
Source: RNAcentral
GCGGGCGUAGCUCAGUGGUAGAGUUCCAGCCUUCCAAGCUGGCUGUCAGGGGUUCAAAUCCCCUCGCCCGCUCCA